GAGUGUACAAAACCGCCUUUUCGCCAUCAGCUCUGUAAAUUCUCUUUCGCGGGCAAUUCUAAGCUACACUCUACCUAUCGACACAACCCCGCUAAUCCUAGUUGCUUUGAGUUUCAGAUACUUCUGUGAAGGUUCUGUGAUCUCGUUGUCAGUUGAAAAUGGGUUGGAAACUGCUGAAAAACUAAUUAGGCACUGGAAAGUACUAAGAGGUGAUAAUGUUAAAAAACACAUCAAGGCAGGUGAAGGUCAUGAAUUUGGGAUCUUUCGUUUUAUGUUUGAAGUCAGAUUUCAAAACUAUGGAGGAAACCUUGCAAGGUGGGAAUUAGAUAUCUAGAAGAUGGUCCAAAGUGAGAGUUUGUAGAGGCCAAGGGGCAUCUGGGUCUGUAAUUUCUUGUCCUGAGAUUUUGAAGAUUAGAACAACUCCAAGACCUACAGUAGGCAUGAUAGACUUUAGCCUUUGGAUGUUUGGCGUAAGCAUGGUAGAUCUAGUUUAUAACCUUGCACGGGUAACGAUGAAGGGAUAUACAACUAUCUAUUAAUAAAUAUAAAGCCUAAAAUUAUUACUAUUUUAUAA
This is a long non-coding RNA of Hevea brasiliensis (rubber tree), 574 nucleotides long. RefSeq lists it as uncharacterized. The transcript has 3 exons. Lineage: Eukaryota; Viridiplantae; Streptophyta; Magnoliopsida; Malpighiales; Euphorbiaceae. The record is from RefSeq and is a predicted model, not a curated record.